Molecule: ribosomal RNA, 442 nt
Filed under: uncultured bacterium
Lineage: Bacteria
Description: bacterial SSU rRNA
Rfam family: Bacterial small subunit ribosomal RNA
Source: RNAcentral
GCAGUCGACGCUUCUUUUUCCACCGGAGCUUGCUCCACCGGAAAAAGAGGAGUGGCGAACGGGUGAGUAACACGUGGGUAACCUGCCCAUCAGAAGGGGAUAACACUUGGAAACAGGUGCUAAUACCGUAUAACAAUCGAAACCGCAUGGUUUUGAUUUGAAAGGCGCUUUCGGGUGUCACUGAUGGAUGGACCCGCGGUGCAUUAGCUAGUUGGUGAGGUAACGGCUCACCAAGGCCACGAUGCAUAGCCGACCUGAGAGGGUGAUCGGCCACAUUGGGACUGAGACACGGCCCAAACUCCUACGGGAGGCAGCAGUAGGGAAUCUUCGGCAAUGGACGAAAGUCUGACCGAGCAACGCCGCGUGAGUGAAGAAGGUUUUCGGAUCGUAAAACUCUGUUGUUAGAGAAGAACAAGGAUGAGAGUAACUGUUCAUCCCUUGA